RNAcentral lists this ribosomal RNA (421 nucleotides) under uncultured bacterium. RNAcentral's name for it is "partial 16S ribosomal RNA". It matches the Rfam family "Bacterial small subunit ribosomal RNA", at positions 360 to 773 of the family's 1533-position model. The record is from RNAcentral.
AAUAUUGGACAAUGGGCGCAAGCCUGAUCCAGCCAUGCCGCGUGUGUGAAGAAGGUCUUCGGAUUGUAAAGCACUUUAAGUUGGGAGGAAGGGCAGUAGGUUAAUACCUUGCUGGUUUGACGUUACCAACAGAAUAAGCACCGGCUAACUCCGUCCCAGCAGCCGCGGUAAUCCGGAGGGUGCAAGCGUUAAUCGGAAUUACUGGGCGUAAAGUGGGGGUAGGUGGUUUAGUAAGGUGGGAGUGAAAUCCCCGGGCUUAACCUGGGAACUGCUUUCAAAACUGGUAAGCUAGAGUACGGUAGAGGGUAGUGGAAUUUCCUGUGUAGCGGUGAAAUGCGUAGAUAUAGGAAGGAACACCAGUGGCGAAGGCGACUACCUGGACUGAUACUGACACUGAGGUGCGAAAGCGUGGGGAGCAAAC